CCUACGGGUGGCAGCAGUAGGGAAUCUUUCACAAUGGGCGCAAGCCUGAUGCAGCAACGCCGCGUGCAGGAUGAAGGCUUUCGGGUUGUAAACUGCUUUUAUCAGCGAGAAAUAUGAUGGUAACUCCUGAAUAAGGAUCGGCUACAUACUUGCCAGCAGCCGCGGGCAUACGUAGGAUUCGAACAUUAUCCGGGGUGAUUGGGUGUAAAGAGUUGCGUGGGUGGGAUAAUAAGUAGCUAGUGUAAUCUGGUGGCUCAACCAUUCAGACUGUUAGCGAAACUGUUUAUCUCGAGAACGGUAGAGGCAAACGGAAUUUCUAGUGUAGGGGUGAAAUCCGUAGAUAGUAGGAGGAACACCAGUGGCGAAGGCGGGCUGCUGGAAAGGAUCUGACGCUGAGGCGCGAAAGCGUAGGGAGCAAACAGGAUUAGAUACCCGAGUAGUC
Molecule: ribosomal RNA, 442 nt
Filed under: uncultured bacterium
Lineage: Bacteria
Description: partial 16S ribosomal RNA
Rfam family: Bacterial small subunit ribosomal RNA
Source: RNAcentral